AAUGAACGCUGGCGGCAUGCCUAACACAUGCAAGUCGAACGAAGGCUUCGGCCUUAGUGGCGCACGGGUGCGUAACGCGUGGGAAUCUGCCCUCAGGUUCGGAAUAACAGCGAGAAAUUGCUGCUAACACCGGAUGAUAUCGCGAGAUCAAAGAUUUAUCGCCUGAGGAUGAGCCCGCGUAGGAUUAGCUAGUUGGUGUGGUAAAGGCGCACCAAGGCGACGAUCCUUAGCUGGUCUGAGAGGAUGAUCAGCCACACUGGGACUGAGACACGGCCCAGACUCCUACGGGAGGCAGCAGUGGGGAAUAUUGGACAAUGGGCGAAAGCCUGAUCCAGCAAUGCCGCGUGAGUGAUGAAGGCCUUAGGGUUGUAAAGCUCUUUUACCCGGGAUGAUAAUGACAGUACCGGGAGAAUAAGCUCCGGCUAACUCCGUGCCAGCAGCCGCCGUAA
RNAcentral lists this ribosomal RNA (449 nucleotides) under uncultured bacterium. RNAcentral's name for it is "partial 16S ribosomal RNA". It matches the Rfam family "Bacterial small subunit ribosomal RNA", at positions 29 to 523 of the family's 1533-position model. The record is from RNAcentral.